This 253-nucleotide ribosomal RNA is filed under the name uncultured bacterium. RNAcentral describes it as "partial 16S ribosomal RNA". It matches the Rfam family "Bacterial small subunit ribosomal RNA", at positions 524 to 776 of the family's 1533-position model. The record is from RNAcentral.
UACGUAGGGUGCAAGCGUUGUCCGGAAUUAUUGGGCGUAAAGAGCUCGUAGGCGGUCUGUCACGUCGGCUGUGAAAACUCGGGGCUCAACCCCGAGCCUGCAGUCGAUACGGGCAGACUAGAGUCCGGCAGGGGAGACUGGAAUUCCUGGUGUAGCGGUGAAAUGCGCAGAUAUCAGGAGGAACACCGGUGGCGAAGGCGGGUCUCUGGGCCGGAACUGACGCUGAGGAGCGAAAGUGUGGGGAUCAAACAGG